Molecule: long non-coding RNA, 1439 nt
Organism: Odocoileus virginianus texanus
Lineage: Eukaryota; Metazoa; Chordata; Mammalia; Artiodactyla; Cervidae
Source: RefSeq, a predicted model, not a curated record
GAACCCGCCUGUCCCGGGUCGCCGGGCCGCCGCCCUGCCUCGAUUAUGGCUUGGAGUCGCCUGGGCCCACCUGGUUUCCCUUCUCUAAGCAUCACAUCACGCACUGUCCGUUGUCCAGCGUCUGAAAUCCACUGUUUCGUACAUUUCUUUGGCUUUUUAGUCGUUAGAGCGUCCAUGAGCCCUGUGCCAUCAGGCGUCCUGGGAUGGAGCACACGACCAGCCUCAUCUUAGCAGAAAGUCUCGGUGUCCUGGCCACAGUGACUUAUAGCUGGCAAGCACGUGGGCCUGAGCGGGUCUGAUCAGAUGGACUCUGUCUACUUGUGGGAGCUACAGGGAACAUUCCUUUAUUCUUCCUGCUGAGUGCAGGAACAAGGGAACACGUGAAACUGCAGCUGCGCUUCUCCUCACAGGGUGAGAGCGGGAAGCUGCUGGGGGACUGUCCUGAACCUCAGAAGGGGAUUCAACAGGAAGUGGUGGAGAUUUGGACAGAGUCCAAGCCUUGAUCUUUCUAAAACAUAAGAAGAUUAUGAAAACAGUGAAGUAUUGUUCCUAGGCGCACGGUGAGGAACGUCUCAAGUCAUCUGUGAUGAAAGACUCUGCUGUAAAAGGCAAAGCUGAAGCGAAGGGAUGUGAAACAGCUUUUUGACCAGGCACUUUCAUUUACGUUAUGACCCAUCCAUUUGGCUCCUGGUUAUACCUCUGUCAGAGCUGGAAAUGACAUCUACACUUCCUCGUGCUGUGGAAGUAAAGAAAGACCGACCAGGAAGACGUGCUGUGGACCAAGGGUUUUCUAUCAAGAGGGCGUUGGCCACCAGGACUUGCGUUCAGCAGAGCCUGGAAGGUGGGCAGGAGUGGAAGGGGGAGGCUCCGUGUGCCCUGCUGGCGGCUGUGGGCAGAGGAAGCUGGAGGCGGGCUGCAUAUGACAGACGUGGGGCAUCUGAUGUGCCUGGUUUGGGGCACGUUAGCCUUUCUGCUUUGCCCUGACUUGACAGGAUGGAUAAAACACACCAAAGCUGGUGUGGGUCAGUCCUGACUGCCCGGCCUGAUGGCUGCUGAGGCUACGGGCUGGCUUCCUGGCUGGUUGCUGCCAGACUGUGGGUCAGCAUUCUGUUAUCACAUACGGUCUGGCUGUUGUCUGUCUGUAUGCUCAGUCCCUCCACAACUCCAUGUCCGUUGUCUGGUCGCAGUAAUGUCCCAUUACAGCCCCUCUCCACCCCGGACUCAGGGGGCUUCCAGCAGUAAGACUCAUCUGGGCUGUGAGUAAGUCCACAGGUUGGCGAUUUGGGCUGGGCUUAGCCGGAGGCCUCAGCGGGGACGACUUCUUACACGAACAGGCAGCUUCCUAAGGAAGAAACCGAGAAGCGCUCUCAUUCACAUGGCCGCGGUGGCCUUGGCCGCGGGCUGAGCUAGGCUGGCUGGGGUCCCUCAGUCCUGCCCCA